UGAUAGCUAUGAAGCGUGAGGUUGCUACAGAGAAAUCUGUAGGUUUUCCGUGGAGCGAAUGUCAAGUUAGGAAACUGGCGACAA
Regulatory RNA element from Clostridium sp. CAG:230, 84 nucleotides. It matches the Rfam family "S10-Clostridia ribosomal protein leader". Lineage: Bacteria; Bacillati; Bacillota; Clostridia; Eubacteriales; Clostridiaceae. The record is from Rfam.